RNAcentral lists this transfer RNA (73 nucleotides) under Clostridium disporicum. It matches the Rfam family "tRNA". Rfam says of the family: Transfer RNA (tRNA) molecules are approximately 80 nucleotides in length. Lineage: Bacteria; Bacillati; Bacillota; Clostridia; Eubacteriales; Clostridiaceae. The record is from Rfam by way of RNAcentral.
GAUUCACUAGCUCAGUCGGUAGAGCACUUGACUUUUAAUCAAGGUGUCCGGGGUUCGAUUCCCCGGUGAGUCA